Molecule: non-coding RNA, 3385 nt
Organism: Camellia sinensis
Lineage: Eukaryota; Viridiplantae; Streptophyta; Magnoliopsida; Ericales; Theaceae
Source: RefSeq, a predicted model, not a curated record
UCUCUCUCUCACUCUCACUCUCACUCUGUUCUUCAACAGAAGCAAAGAAACCCACCCGACGCUCCUCCCCGUCUCAACCCCCCCACCUUCCCUCUCUAUCUCUAUCUCAAUCUCUUUCUCUCUCUCUCGCUCUCGCUCUCGCUCUCUCUCUUUCACUCUCUGUUCUUCUUCUUGAACAGAAGUCCACCCUCUCUAUCACAACCGACGCUCCUCCUCCUCCUUCGUCACGUCCCUCUUCAUCAACCGUUCGAUUUCAAUUCUCUUCAUCGACACCCACCCUCUUCGCUACCGACGCUCCUCCUCCUCCUUGGUCACGCUCAUCUUCAUCGCAAGGUAUUUGGAUUGCUUUAAAACAAUUCUCCGAAAAACACCAUUUCGGUUACAGAGCUCUCUGUAUAUACCGCUUUGCAUUGAUCUAUUUGGCAAGAGCAUUGGCUGCUCCGGAUCAGACCAUCCAAAUGGAACACCAGGCCAUAAGAAUUAUGGGUUGAGUGUUCUUCAGCAACAUGUGGCCUUUUUUGACAUGGACGACAAUGGAAUCAUUUACCCUUGGGAGACAUAUACUGGGCUACGUGCAAGUGGUUUCAGCAUGAUUGCAUCUCUUAUAAUGGCUAUUGGUAUUAAUGGAGCUUUGAGUUACCCUACUCUUCCCGUUAUAUAUUAAAUAGAAAAAACAAUCUGCUCUAUUCUGUUCACCGGUAGCUAAUAUGGAGAAGGAUUUUGAUUCAAAGCUAAGGAUUGAGAGCAAUUCUUCCAAUGGAGGAAACAUACCCAAAUCUAAGAGCUUUGAAUUGGGCAGUAUCUAUGGCAUUGGUUCUUAUUCCAAGGUCUCAUUUUUCUUCAUCAUAUUUAAUUUUUUUACUGUAUUUAUUUAUUUAUUAUUAUUAUUGUGAAUUAAUUUGAUAUAUGUUGAUUUAUUAUGGUGUUUUGAUGAUUUAUGUUCAUUAGAGGUUAAUUUGAAUGUCAUGUUUCAUCUAUCUUUUUAGGCUUAGUUUAGAUUGUUUAUGGGUCAUUUAAAUUGGGUUUGAUACAGUUAUUAUUAGAAUUCCAUUUUCUCAAACCCACAAUUUUUUGAAUCAAUCUAAUACAUUUUAUUUGAAUUCUAUUCUCUACAAUUAAUUCCAUUCUCAUCUCAUUCUCUCUUGCGCGGGUCUCUUACAGGUCAUUUGUUUAUUAAACCCAUCCAAGCACCAAGAACUUUGUUCUCCACCCGACAUAUAACCGGAUCUAUAUUUGAACUGGUAGUUUAUUUGGGUUUGGGUUUGUGAUUUUCGUUCGACAUAUAACUGGAGAAUCAACGCAAGUGUAUAGUGGGGUUUUAAUUGUUGUGUGACUUGCAUCUAUUUCAAAGCAUUUAAUAUUAGCCAUACUUGAUCUAAUAAACGGAAUGGAACCACAAGAAGGUAUUGGGUCAUAUAUGUAAAUGACAUUGUAAUUCGAACCAAUCUUUUUACAACAGACCUGUGUUAUAAAAAAGUCUUCAGGAACACGUAGAUUAAUUAUUUUCUAGAUGAACAUUAUUAGCUAAAAAUACAAAAAAUCGGUUUUUAACCAACUUUUCAAAACAACUCAUAAUUAUUAGGAUUGGUUAGAAUAAGUGUACAUUAAGUUUAAAGUAUUUUCGGGUGCAAAGCCAGUACCAGUGUUUGAUUUUGGAUUUUUGAAUGGAUUAAUUAUUUUUUUGCUGCUCAAUUACUCUGCAGCAGAGCGCGUCCCAAACACGCUAAUUUAGCUUCGUAUCCAGGUAAUCGUCUACUUACUUAUAGGCUUUUCUUCUUCUUUUUCUUCUUCUUCUUCUUCUUCUUCUUCUUUUAUUUUUAUUUAUUUAUUUUUUUCUUAUGUUAAUUAUAAGCAUAUGUUAAAGUUUGGUAGGCUUAUAUGCCACCAAACUGGGUUCCAUUUUUUUAAAAAAAAACUUGGUGGGUUUGGAUUCGGAUUAGCAUUCUUUAUUUGUUUAUUUAUUUUUAAAUUGAAUGUCUAAAUCUAGGAAAUCACUAUCCUCAAUUGGGAUAGUAAUCCCAUUAUUUAAUGUUAAUGUUAAUGUUAUCAUACACUUGAGCCACACCAAAUCACAGAAAUAUCCACCAAUCCCAUUUUGAUUUAUGGGUGGAAAAUUGGUGGGUUAGGCGUUUUCCACCCAUAAAUCACAAUACCGGCCCGAAAGUAAACCCCCCCUCUCUCUCUCUAAAAUGUGGAUUAGAUUAUCAUAUUAUAUAACGCUCUUUGCAACCGAUUAAGUUUUUUGGGUUUGUAACGGAGGAUUCAGAUCUUGCUGCUGAAAAGAAAUCAGGCGAUCCAACUGACAGAGGUAUUAAAAAAUAAAAAUAGAACAUUUCUGAUUACUCUCAGACUGUUUCCAAAGGCCCAAUUUACUCUUUGCUCAUAUCAAAUUUUGUACCUUUUUUUAUUUUAUUAGUUAUGUCAUGAAUUGUAAACUCUUCUUAAUUCCUCAAUUUCACGUAUGCAAUCUCAUCCCUCAAAGAGAGAGAGAGAGAGUUUUUCAAUGCUAUCCAUGAAUUUUUAAAUUAAGCUUUUGUGCCUAGGGUUUUAAAAGUUACAAAAACAUGUUGUAGAUUGAAAUUGAUGUGAUAACUGACCAGUAGAUAUUGGAACUUGCAAGUAUAUAUAUUUGGUUUCUGUUUUUCAAUUUCCUUUUGUCGCUGUUGUAUUCGGUCGAACUCGCACUUGCACUCGCAAGGUAAUUUCAGUAUUCUCUCCUCUCCUCUUUCGAACUCGGCUGUUGUAUGGCUGACGGCUAUUUUUGUUUUUGGCUGGGUUUGUUUGUCGUGUAUUACUUGGGACAUAACAAGCAUCUUUUAUGGUUGUUUAAAUUCGACUCAACCGAGAGAUCAUCAGUUACACUUUGGGGAGAAUCGAUGGUCGUCACAAAUCUAAGAAGUGCGACUCUGCCAUUUGGCAUUGUAUUACACUACUCUGCCUUUUCCCAAUUUAACCUCUCAGGUCAUCAAUUUAUGGGUUUUCGAUAUAAUCGAAGUAGGCAGGUCAAUUAAUUGGUUCGAGGCAAAGGUGGUGUUGGGUAUGAGGGAUAGAAAUUCAAAGAGCAUGAUCAUCCAAAAAAGGAUCUUCACACAAGUAAUGGAUACAUAUGUCUAUUCUUACUUCAUCAUUGAAUGACAUAAUUCAGUUGACCAUAAUAGGUGACUAAUCCAUAUUAGAAACGUUGGGUUACAUUGCUUCUACAUGUGUGUCGUUGGUUGGCUCUCUCAUUCUAAACAAAAUGAUUAAUUUUUCUUUUUGGGUUAGCUAGGAUGAUUGUUUUGUACCAAAAUGUUCAUUGACCUUUAUUUGAAGGCAUUGAAAUUUGAUAAAGCAAAAACGAUACUAAUUCAAUAAUAUUUUUUUAUUGAAGGUUAUCCCAUUCUAA